Molecule: ribosomal RNA, 608 nt
Filed under: uncultured bacterium
Lineage: Bacteria
Description: bacterial SSU rRNA
Rfam family: Bacterial small subunit ribosomal RNA
Source: RNAcentral
CCUACGGGAGGCAGCAGUGGGGAAUAUUGCGCAAUGGGGGAAACCCUGACGCAGCAACGCCGCGUGAGUGAGGAAGGACUUCGGUCUGUAAAGCUCUGUUAAUGAGGAAAAAUGGUAGUUGGUCUAAUAGGCCGAUUAUUUGAUGGUACUCAUAGAGGAAGCACCGGCUAACUUCGUGCCAGCAGCCGCGGUAAUACGAAGGGUGCAAGCGUUGUUCGGAUUUAUUGGGCGUAAAGCGCGCGUAGGCGGACCUGCAAGUAAGAUGUGAAAUCUCGAGGCUCAACCUCGAAACUGCGUCUUAAACUACAGGUCUAGAAUCUCGGAGGGGGAAGGGGAAUUUCGCAUGUAGGGGUAAAAUCCGUAGAUAUGCGAAGGAACACCAGAGGCGAAGGCGCCUUCCUGGACGAGUAUUGACGCUGAGGCGCGAAAGCGUGGGGAUCAAACAGGAUUAGAUACCCUGGUAGUCCACGCUGUAAACGAUGAACACUAGGUAUUGGAGGAUUUGACCCCUUCAGUGCCGUAGCUAACGCGUUAAGUGUUCCGCCUGGGAAGUACGGUCGCAAGCUAAACNCAAGAUGNGNGNGNGAGNGCGAGNGACACGAGGAGAG